AAUUUGUCUUUUAAUUGAAGAAUAGAAUGAACGAGUUUACCACAUGCCAAUUUUUCUUUGUGUGUCAAUAAAAAUUGAAUGUUUAGUGAAAAUGCUAAAGUGUCUCACCUAGACGAUAAGACCCUAUGAAGCUUUACCAGGGAUAAAAAAUUUGAUAUAAGGAUUAGUGCUGGAUUGAUUGGGGUAAUCAGUAAAAUAGUUAUUAGUUCAUUGUUUGACGAGUAAGAUCCUAUUAGGAAAUCGAGACAUAGCUACUCUAGGGAUAACAGCAUUAUAGUUUUAAAAGUCCUUAUUAGAAAAACUGU
This 305-nucleotide ribosomal RNA is filed under the name Pleuromamma xiphias. RNAcentral describes it as "partial 16S rRNA". The record is from RNAcentral. Lineage: Eukaryota; Metazoa; Arthropoda; Copepoda; Calanoida; Metridinidae.